GACGAACGCUGGCGGCGUGCCUAAUACAUGCAAGUAGAACGCUGAAGGAAGGAGCUUGCUCUUUCUGGAUGAGUUGCGAACGGGUGAGUAACGCGUAGGUAACCUGCCUGGUAGCGGGGGAUAACUAUUGGAAACGAUAGCUAAUACCGCAUAAAAUUGAUUAUUGCAUGAUAGUCAAUUAAAAGGUGCAACUGCACCACUACCAGAUGGACCUGCGUUGUAUUAGCUAGUUGGUGGGGUAACGGCUCACCAAGGCGACGAUACAUAGCCGACCUGAGAGGGUGAUCGGCCACACUGGGACUGAGACACGGCCCAGACUCCUACGGGAGGCAGCAGUAGGGAAUCUUCGGCAAUGGACGGAAGUCUGACCGAGCAACGCCGCGUGAGUGAAGAAGGUUUUCGGAUCGUAAAGCUCUGUUGUAAGAGAAGAACGAGUGUGAGAGUGGAAAGUUCACACUGUGACGGUAUCUUACCAGAAAGGGAUGGCUAACUACGUG
RNAcentral lists this ribosomal RNA (497 nucleotides) under uncultured bacterium. Its description in RNAcentral is "partial 16S ribosomal RNA". It matches the Rfam family "Bacterial small subunit ribosomal RNA", at positions 28 to 507 of the family's 1533-position model. The record is from RNAcentral.